Molecule: transfer RNA, 50 nt
Filed under: Orychophragmus violaceus
Lineage: Eukaryota; Viridiplantae; Streptophyta; Magnoliopsida; Brassicales; Brassicaceae
Also listed under: 6 other names
Description: partial tRNA-Phe
Rfam family: tRNA (bases 8-50)
About the family: Transfer RNA (tRNA) molecules are approximately 80 nucleotides in length. Their secondary structure includes four short double-helical elements and three loops (D, anti-codon, and T loops).
Source: RNAcentral
GGUAAUGGCCGGGAUAGCUCAGUUGGUAGAGCAGAGGACUGAAAAUCCUC